CGUCAAAUCAUCAUGCCCCUUAUGACCUGGGCUACACACGUAAUACAAUGGCCGUUAACAGAGGGAAGCAACACCGCGAGGUAGAGCAAAACCCUAAAAACGGUCUCAGUUCGGAUUGCAGGCUGAAACCCGCCUGUAUGAAGUUGGAAUUGCUAGUAAUCGCGGAUCAGCAUGCCGCGGUGAAUACGUUCCCGGGCCUU
Molecule: ribosomal RNA, 200 nt
Filed under: uncultured prokaryote
Description: partial 16S ribosomal RNA
Rfam family: Bacterial small subunit ribosomal RNA
Source: RNAcentral